Molecule: non-coding RNA, 132 nt
Filed under: Micromonospora sp.
Lineage: Bacteria; Bacillati; Actinomycetota; Actinomycetes; Micromonosporales; Micromonosporaceae
Also listed under: 1 other name
Description: SAM-I sequence
Rfam family: SAM riboswitch aptamer (S box leader)
About the family: The SAM riboswitch is found upstream of a number of genes which code for proteins involved in methionine or cysteine biosynthesis in Gram-positive bacteria. The SAM riboswitch acts at the level of transcription termination control.
Source: RNAcentral
ACCUCAUCCAGAGGGGCUGAGGGAUACGGCCCGAUGACGCCCCGGCAACCACCCGCGCGCUCGACGACGAGCGACGCCGGCAGGUGCCAAUUCCGUCCCCGCCGCACAAGGCGAUGCGGGGGAAGAUGAGAG